This 225-nucleotide ribosomal RNA is filed under the name uncultured fungus. Its description in RNAcentral is "partial small subunit ribosomal RNA". The stretch from base 35 to 225 matches the Rfam family "Eukaryotic small subunit ribosomal RNA", at positions 675 to 864 of the family's 1831-position model. The record is from RNAcentral. Lineage: Eukaryota; Fungi.
GCUUUGAGCGUCCGGUCCGCUUCUGUGAAGUGUGUACUCUGGAUGUUUGAGGCAUUUUUUGUGAGGAUGUUUUUCUGCCAUUAAGUUGGUGGUUGAACAGACUUGCAUCGUUUACUGUGAAAAAAUUAGAGUGUUUAAAGCAGGCGUUUGCUCGUUGAAUACAUUAGCAUGGAAUAAUAAGAUACGACCUUGGUGGUCUAUUUUGUUGGUUUGCACACCAGGGUA